UACGUAGGCAGCAAGCGUUGUUCGGAAUUACUGGGCGUAAAGAGUGUGUAGGCGGUGCUCUAAGUUCGGUGUGAAAUCUCCCGGCUCAACUGGGAGGGUGCGCCGAAUACUGAAUGACUAGAGUGCGGGAGAGGAAAGUGGAAUUCCUGGUGUAGCGGUGAAAUGCGUAGAUAUCAGGAGGAACACCGGUGGUGUAGACGGCUUUCUGGACCGUAACUGACGCUGAGACACGAAAGCGUGGGUAGCAAACAGG
This 253-nucleotide ribosomal RNA is filed under the name uncultured bacterium. Its description in RNAcentral is "partial 16S ribosomal RNA". It matches the Rfam family "Bacterial small subunit ribosomal RNA", at positions 524 to 776 of the family's 1533-position model. The record is from RNAcentral.